UACAGAGGUCCUAAGCGUUGUUCGGAUUCAUUGGGCGUAAAGGGUGCGUAGGUGGCCCCGUAAGUGGGGUGUGAAAUCUCGGGGCUUAACUCCGAAACUGCAUUCCAUACUGCGGUGCUUGAGGACUGGAGAGGAGACUGGAAUUUACGGUGUAGCAGUGAAAUGCGUAGAGAUCGUAAGGAAGACCAGUGGCGAAGGCGGGUCUCUGGACAGUUCCUGACACUGAGGCACGAAGGCCAGGGGAGCAAGCGGG
Molecule: ribosomal RNA, 253 nt
Filed under: uncultured bacterium
Lineage: Bacteria
Description: partial 16S ribosomal RNA
Rfam family: Bacterial small subunit ribosomal RNA
Source: RNAcentral